AGAGUUUGAUCCUGGCUCAGGAUGAACGCUAGCGGCAGGCCUAAUACAUGCAAGCCGAACGGCAAGUUUUGUAGCAAUACAAGACCUAGAGUGGCGUAAGGGUGCGUAACACGUAUGCAAUCUGCCCUGUACAGGAGGAUAGCUCGGGGAAACUCGAAUUAACACUCCAUAAUAUCACGAGGAGGCAUCUUUUUGUGAUUAAAACUGAGGUGGUACAGGAUGAGCAUGCGCAUGAUUAGCUAGUUGGCGGGGUAACGGCCCACCAAGGCGAUGAUCAUUAGGGGAACUGAGAGGUUGAUCCCCCACACUGGCACUGAGAUACGGGCCAGACUCCUACGGGAGGCAGCAGUAGGGAAUAUUGGACAAUGGGUGCGAGCCUGAUCCAGCCAUGCCGCGUGCAGGAAGAAGGCUUUCUGAGUUGUAAACUGCUUUUGCCAGAGGAUAAAAAGCCCAUGCGUGGGAAAUUGAAGGUACCUGGUGAAUAAGCCACGGCUAACUACGUGCCAGCAGCCGCGGUAAUACGUAGGUGGCAAGCGUUGUCCGGAUUUAUUGGGUUUAAAGGGUGCGUAGGCGGUUUUAUAAGUCAGUGGUGAAAUCCGGCAGCUCAACUGUCGAUGUGCCAUUGAUACUGUAGAACUUGAGUACUGAUGAGGUAGGCGGAAUUGACGGUGUAGCGGUGAAAUGCUUAGAUAUCGUCAAGAACACCGAUAGCGAAGGCAGCUUACUAAGCAGUAACUGACGCUGAGGCACGAAAGUGUGGGGAUCAAACAGGAUUAGAUACCCUGGUAGUCC
This 792-nucleotide ribosomal RNA is filed under the name uncultured prokaryote. Its description in RNAcentral is "bacterial SSU rRNA". It matches the Rfam family "Bacterial small subunit ribosomal RNA", at positions 8 to 796 of the family's 1533-position model. The record is from RNAcentral.